UACGUAGGCCGCAAGCGUUGUUCGGAGUUACUGGGCGUAAAGCGUGCGCAGGUGGUUUUGUAAGCCAGAUGUGAAAUCCCCGGGCUCAACCUGGGAAUGGCAUUUGGGACUGCAAGGCUCGAGUGCGGCAGAGGAGACUGGAAUUCCUGGUGUAGCAGUGAAAUGCGUAGAUAUCAGGAGGAAUACCGAUGGCGAAGGCAGGUCUCUGGGCUGACACUGACGCUCAUGCACGAAAGCGUGGGGAGCAAACAGG
This 253-nucleotide ribosomal RNA is filed under the name uncultured bacterium. RNAcentral describes it as "partial 16S ribosomal RNA". It matches the Rfam family "Bacterial small subunit ribosomal RNA", at positions 524 to 776 of the family's 1533-position model. The record is from RNAcentral.